UGGGGAAUUUUGGACAAUGGGCGAAAGCCUGAUCCAGCAAUGCCGCGUGUGUGAAGAAGGCCUUCGGGUUGUAAAGCACUUUUGUCCGGAAAGAAAUCCUUGGCUCUAAUACAGUCGGGGGAUGACGGUACCGGAAGAAUAAGCACCGGCUAACUACGUGCCAGCAGCCGCGGUAAUACGUAGGGUGCAAGCGUUAAUCGGGAUUACUGGGCGUAAAGCGUGCGCAGGCGGUUUGCUAAGACCGAUGUGAAAUCCCCGGGCUCAACCUGGGAACUGCAUUGGUGACUGGCAGGCUAGAGUAUGGCAGAGGGGGGUAGAAUUCCACGUGUAGCAGUGAAAUGCGUAGAGAUGUGGAGGAAUACCGAUGGCGAAGGCAGCCCCCUGGGCCAAUACUGACGCUCAUGCACGAAAGCGUGGGGAGCAAACAGGAUUAGAUACCCUGGGUAGUCCACGCCCUAAACGAUGUCAACUAGUUGUUGGGGAUUCAUUUCCUUAGUAACGUAGCUAACGCGUGAAGUUGACCGCCUGGGGAGUACGGUCGCAAGAUUAAAACUCAAAUGAAUUGACGGGGU
This 572-nucleotide ribosomal RNA is filed under the name uncultured bacterium. RNAcentral describes it as "partial 16S ribosomal RNA". It matches the Rfam family "Bacterial small subunit ribosomal RNA", at positions 355 to 919 of the family's 1533-position model. The record is from RNAcentral.